Molecule: long non-coding RNA, 276 nt
Organism: Uranotaenia lowii
Lineage: Eukaryota; Metazoa; Arthropoda; Insecta; Diptera; Culicidae
Exons: 3
Source: RefSeq, a predicted model, not a curated record
AGAUAGCAGGAGUGAAAAUUGAUUUGCGCCGUUUUAAAUUAAAGUUUUUCGUGUCGUGUUCGCUCUAGUUUUGCUUCGAACAGAUUGCUCGUUUACGCAACCAUCGAUCACCUUUAUUGGAUAAUCGUGCAAUCUAAUUCUGUAAGCCCUCUCACCAGUCUGGUGGGACAUAGUUGCAUUAUAUUCAAUGCAGCACAGAUUCCUCAACCGAAACUAAGGCCGAUAGCGGGAAAGAUCCCAGGCAAGCUCAUUCAAUCCAAGAGUCAAAGACUUAUU